UCGCUAGUAAUCGCGGAUCAGAAUGCCGCGGUGAAUACGUUCCCGGGUCUUGUACACACCGCCCGUCGCACCAUGGGAGUCGGAAAUGCCCGAAGCCGGUGACUCAACCUGCAAAGGAGAGAGCCGUCGAAGGCAGGUCUGAUAACUGGGGUGAAGUCGUAACAAGGUACC
RNAcentral lists this ribosomal RNA (171 nucleotides) under uncultured bacterium. RNAcentral describes it as "partial 16S ribosomal RNA". It matches the Rfam family "Bacterial small subunit ribosomal RNA", at positions 1332 to 1500 of the family's 1533-position model. The record is from RNAcentral.